RNAcentral lists this long non-coding RNA (348 nucleotides) under Lathyrus oleraceus (garden pea). Its description in RNAcentral is "Pisum sativum (pea) long non-coding RNA (PSAT_LNC029215)". Lineage: Eukaryota; Viridiplantae; Streptophyta; Magnoliopsida; Fabales; Fabaceae. The record is from RNAcentral.
CCCUUCUAGAUUGACACUAUCCUCUAACACACUUGUUUAUACACUUCAUGAACCGAUGAUAGUAGCUCGAUCUUUCUAAAACAUGUAUCCCCAUUAUUUCCAUAAAUAAUGGGAAGGUUAGCCUAAAAUGUCUUCUUCCAUGGACCAUUGUUUUUCACGAGAACAUUCUCAAAUUAAAAUAUUAAGACUUUUCAUAAAUAGUCCGAAGAUCUCAAAUACUAAUAUGUUGGAUUAAAUUGUCUUGCACCUCGAGCAUCCUGUAAAAGAAAUAGCAUAAUUUGGCUAUUUACAAGAACCAUUUUAAAGAAGGCCGUGAACCAAUUUUUAAAAUCAAAUUUAAUUCCUAUG